AACGAACGCUGGCGGCAUGCCUAACACAUGCAAGUCGAACGAGACCUUCGGGUCUAGUGGCGCACGGGUGCGUAACGCGUGGGAAUCUGCCCCUUGGUUCGGGAAUAACAGCGAGAAAUUGCUGCUAAUACCGGAUAAUGACGUAAGUCCAAAGAUUUAUCGCCAAGGGAUGAGCCCGCGUAGGAUUAGCUAGUUGGUGUGGUAAAGGCGCACCAAGGCGACGAUCCUUAGCUGGUCUGAGAGGAUGAUCAGCCACACUGGGACUGAGACACGGCCCAGACUCCUACGGGAGGCAGCAGUGGGGAAUAUUGGACAAUGGGCGAAAGCCUGAUCCAGCAAUGCCGCGUGAGUGAUGAAGGGCCUUAGGGUUGGUUAAAGAUCUUUACCGGGUAACGAUAAUGACUGUACCGGGACGGAAAGUAAAGACCCC
This 430-nucleotide ribosomal RNA is filed under the name uncultured bacterium. RNAcentral describes it as "bacterial SSU rRNA". It matches the Rfam family "Bacterial small subunit ribosomal RNA", at positions 29 to 476 of the family's 1533-position model. The record is from RNAcentral.